GUUGCAGUCUGAUGCGACCCCGUGAAUCUCCACUCUGACGAAAGGGUCCAGAGCCUUGCCACUCCUGGGAACAGAGCCUUGGGUUGCAGACUGUCGUGUCCUUGGGCAAGACCCUCUACCCACCUGUUACCAGUGCCACCUACACUGGUUUAAAUGUAGCUGAAAGUGUCACGGCGGGGUUGCAGCUUACUGCGCAGUUCGUUCUCCCCGGGAUGCAAACGGACGACUCCGGACAGGACUUGCAGCCAUCCAUCCAUCCAUCCAUCCAUCAAUGAUCCUCCUCCCACAAAGCUAUGCCUUUUAAAGGGUUUAGUCACCCUCAAUCCACUUGCUAUCUGCUGAGUUCAGCAAUCGCGGUACGUGAGUGUGAGCCAUCCGACCAACAAAGCACUGAUUAAUAGUCUGCUCUGAAAUGAGAUGACUUGAAAGAGGACGGCGGUUUUGUGGUGGUGGGUGGGUGGCGAAGAGAAAGGGAGACGUUUCACUUCCUUUGCAGACUGAUGCACACUUGUUUGGUCUCACCUGUAGUUCUUACAAAUGUUC
Entelurus aequoreus (snake pipefish) is the source of this 543-nucleotide long non-coding RNA. RefSeq lists it as uncharacterized. Lineage: Eukaryota; Metazoa; Chordata; Actinopteri; Syngnathiformes; Syngnathidae. The record is from RefSeq and is a predicted model, not a curated record. The transcript has 3 exons.